This 450-nucleotide ribosomal RNA is filed under the name uncultured bacterium. RNAcentral describes it as "partial 16S ribosomal RNA". It matches the Rfam family "Bacterial small subunit ribosomal RNA", at positions 354 to 796 of the family's 1533-position model. The record is from RNAcentral.
GUGGGGAAUAUUGGACAAUGGGCGAAAGCCUGAUCCAGCCAUGCCGCGUGUGUGAAGAAGGUCUUCGGAUUGUAAAGCACUUUAAGUUGGGAGGAAGGGCAGUAAGUUAAUACCUUGCUGUUUUGACGUUACCGACAGAAUAAGCACCGGCUAACUUCGUGCCAGCAGCCGCGGUAAUACGAAGGGUGCAAGCGUUAAUCGGAAUUACUGGGCGUAAAGCGCGCGUAGGGGGUUUUGUAAGUUGGAGGUGAAAUCCCCGGGCUCAACCUGGGAACUGCCUCCAAAACUGCAUGACUAGAGUACGGUAGAGGGUAGUGGAAUUUCCUGUGUAGCGGUGAAAUGCGUAGAUAUAGGAAGGAACACCAGUGGCGAAGGCGACUACCUGGACUGAUACUGACACUGAGGUGCGAAAGCGUGGGGAGCAAACAGGAUUAGAAACCCUUGUAGUCC